Molecule: ribosomal RNA, 445 nt
Filed under: uncultured bacterium
Lineage: Bacteria
Description: partial 16S ribosomal RNA
Rfam family: Bacterial small subunit ribosomal RNA
Source: RNAcentral
GUAGGGAAUAUUGGGCAAUGGAUGCAAGUCUGACCCAGCCAUCCCGCGUGCCGGAAGAAGGCCCUCAGGGUUGUAAACGGCUUUUGACGGUGAAGAAUCGACAGGAUGCGUCCUGUUUUGACGGUAGCCGUUGAAUAAGCACCGGCUAACUCCGUGCCAGCAGCCGCGGUAAUACGGAGGGUGCGAGCGUUGUCCGGAUUUAUUGGGUUUAAAGGGUGCGUAGGCUGGAAGGUCAGUCAGCGGUGAAAAGCUGUCGCUUAACGAUAGUCUUGCCGCAGAUACUUCCUUACUUGGAUGAGGAGGAGGCCACUGGAACGGAUGGUGUAGCGGUGAAAUGCAUAGAUAUCAUCCAGAACACCGAUUGCGAAGGCAGGUGGCUGUACCUUAAUCGACGCUGAUGCACGAAAGCAUGGGGAGCAAACAGGAUUAGAAACCCGUGUAGUCC